This 384-nucleotide ribosomal RNA is filed under the name uncultured bacterium. RNAcentral describes it as "bacterial SSU rRNA". It matches the Rfam family "Bacterial small subunit ribosomal RNA", at positions 30 to 395 of the family's 1533-position model. The record is from RNAcentral.
AGUGAACGCUGGCGGCAGGCCUAACACAUGCAAGUCGAGCGGCAGCGGGUUCCCGCGAGGGGAUGCCGGCGAGCGGCGGACGGGUGAGGAACACAUCGGAAUCUGCCUGGUUGUGGGGGAUAACGUAGGGAAACUUACGCUAAUACCGCAUGAGACCCUGAGUCGACGGACUGGGGGUGAAAGUGAGGGACCUUCGGGCCUCACGCGACCAGAUGAGCCGAUGUCGGAUUAGCUAGUUGGCGGGGUAACGGCCCGCCAAGGCGACGAUCCGUAGCUGGUCUGAGAGGAUGAUCAGCCACACCUGGGACUGAGGCACGGCCCAGACUCCUACGGGAGGCAGCAGUGGGGAAUCUUGGACAAUGGGCGCAAGCCUGAUCCAGCCAU